This 538-nucleotide ribosomal RNA is filed under the name Xanthomonas citri pv. citri. Its description in RNAcentral is "partial 23S ribosomal RNA". It matches the Rfam family "Bacterial large subunit ribosomal RNA", at positions 1077 to 1614 of the family's 2925-position model. The record is from RNAcentral. Lineage: Bacteria; Pseudomonadati; Pseudomonadota; Gammaproteobacteria; Lysobacterales; Lysobacteraceae.
GGCGUUGCCCAGACAACUAGGAUGUUGGCUUAGAAGCAGCCAUCAUUUAAAGAGUGCGUAAUAGCUCACUAGUCGAGUGACACUGCGCCGAAAAUGUACCGGGGCUAAACAUAUUACCGAAGCUGUGGAUUGUCCUUUGGACAAUGGUAGGAGAGCGUUCUAAGGGCGUUGAAGCAUGAUCGUAAGGACAUGUGGAGCGCUUAGAAGUGAGAAUGCCGGUGUGAGUAGCGAAAGACGGGUGAGAAUCCCGUCCACCGAUUGACUAAGGUUUCCAGAGGAAGGCUCGUCCGCUCUGGGUUAGUCGGGUCCUAAGCUGAGGCCGACAGGCGUAGGCGAUGGAUAACAGGUUGAUAUUCCUGUACCACCUAUAAUCGUUUUAAUCGAUGGGGGGACGCAGUAGAAUAGGCGAAGCGUGCGAUUGGAUUGCACGUCUAAGCAGUAAGGCUGAGUAUUAGGCAAAUCCGGUACUCGUUAAGGCUGAGCUGUGAUGGGGAGAAGACAUUGUGUCUUCGAGUCGUUGAUUUCACACUGCCGAGAA